This is a long non-coding RNA of Danio aesculapii, 242 nucleotides long. RefSeq lists it as uncharacterized. NCBI's taxonomy places the organism in Eukaryota, Metazoa, Chordata, Actinopteri, Cypriniformes, Danionidae. The record is from RefSeq and is a predicted model, not a curated record. The transcript has 4 exons.
CAGUUGUUUCUAACAUCACCACCACCAGUACAACAGUUACACCACAGACAAGCUUACCUGUAAUAACACUGCUGAAUGGAUGCACCAGCUCUGGAGGAUGUCUUCAAAAUGUUCUUGCUCAGAUAGAGAACAUUACAGCUGAAGUGCUUCCACUGAAUACUGUGACUGACAUUUUGGCUAUGGCCUUCAAUGAAUCUGAGAAGAUUUCAGUGUCAUCAUCCUCAUCAACAUCAUCAUCAUCA